CUCGCGCUUGCAGCGGCUUGCUUGUACCGCAGAACCACCUCACAUCAUGCUCUGCCCCUCCAAAACGAGCUCUUCCUGACGCAUCAACAGACAGGGGAGGGGGGAGUCCGCUCUGGAUGGAAUCGAGUGACUGAUAAGCGC
This 141-nucleotide unclassified non-coding RNA is filed under the name Rhodotorula toruloides. Lineage: Eukaryota; Fungi; Basidiomycota; Microbotryomycetes; Sporidiobolales; Sporidiobolaceae. The record is from RNAcentral.